Molecule: ribosomal RNA, 451 nt
Filed under: uncultured Fibrobacter sp.
Lineage: Bacteria; Pseudomonadati; Fibrobacterota; Fibrobacteria; Fibrobacterales; Fibrobacteraceae
Description: partial 16S ribosomal RNA
Rfam family: Bacterial small subunit ribosomal RNA
Source: RNAcentral
ACGGGAGGCAGCAGUGGGGAAUAUUGCACAAUGGGGGGAACCCUGAUGCAGCAACGCCACGUGUGGGAAGAAGCAUUUCGGUGUGUAAACCACUGUCGUGAGGGAAUAAUGCUUGAUUUCGGUCAAGUUGAAUGUACCUCGAAAGGAAGCACCGGCAAACUUCGUGCCAGCAGCCGCGGUAAUACGAGGGGUGCAAGCGUUGUUCGGAAUCACUGGGCGUAAAGGGAGCGUAGGCGGAGACGCAAGCAGUCUGUACAAUGCCGGGGCCCAACCCCGAACCUGCAGACUGGACUGUGUCUCUUGGAUGGUUCAGGGGCAGGCGGAAUUCCUGGUGUAGCGGUGGAAUGCGUAGAGAUCAGGAAGAACACCGAUGGCGAAGGCAGCCUGCUGGGGACUCAUCGACGCUGAGGCUCGAAAGUGCGGGUAGCAAACAGGAUUAGAUACCCUGGUA